Molecule: ribosomal RNA, 509 nt
Filed under: uncultured bacterium
Lineage: Bacteria
Description: partial 16S ribosomal RNA
Rfam family: Bacterial small subunit ribosomal RNA
Source: RNAcentral
GACGAACGCUGGCGGUGUGCUUAACACAUGCAAGUGGCGCGACGAACCAGAGCUUGCUCUGGGGCAAAGCCGCGAACGGGUGAGUAACACGUGGGUAACCUGCCCCGAUGACUGGGACAACCCGGGGAAACCCGGGCUAAUACCGGAUGAUGCAUCCAGGCUUAAGCCUGGAUGCCAAAGGUAGCUUCGGCUUCCGCAUUGGGAGGGGCCCGCGGCCCAUUAGCCUGUUGGUGGGGUAAUGGCCGACCAAAGCAACUGUGGGUAGCUGGUCUGAGGGGACGGUCGGCCACCCUGGGACGGAGACACGCGCCGUACUCCUACGGGAGGCAGAAGUGGGGAUUCUUGCGAAAUGCCCGAACGCGUGACUCAGCAACACCGCGUGAGGGAAGACGGCCUUAGGGUUGUAAACCUCUUUCAGUUGGGACGAAGGUGCGGCGGUGAAUAGCCGGCCGGACUGAGGGUACCUUCAGAAGAAGGGCCGGCUAACUACGUGCCAGCAGCCGCCGUAA